UUGAACUCAGAAAUCCACAUGCCUCUGCCUU
Molecule: non-coding RNA, 31 nt
Filed under: Mus musculus (house mouse)
Lineage: Eukaryota; Metazoa; Chordata; Mammalia; Rodentia; Muridae
Source: RNAcentral